CUCGGAGACAAAUUGCAGGCGCUAUGAACCGGAGCAAGGACUAAUCUCGCCUCAUAAUGAGGCGGUGACCUCCUAUUUGCUCUGAGCAAUAUAUGCAAGUCCAGAUUUACACAAUGUUGAUAAAGACGACAUUGUGUCCGCUUGUAAGACGUAUUAUGAGACGGUACGCAGGAGCUGAAGCUGCCAAGAGUUCAGCUCGAAGUCGAGCUAGAAGAAAGAGG
Molecule: long non-coding RNA, 221 nt
Organism: Fundulus heteroclitus (mummichog)
Lineage: Eukaryota; Metazoa; Chordata; Actinopteri; Cyprinodontiformes; Fundulidae
Exons: 3
Source: RefSeq, a predicted model, not a curated record